Molecule: ribosomal RNA, 117 nt
Filed under: uncultured bacterium
Lineage: Bacteria
Description: partial 16S ribosomal RNA
Rfam family: Bacterial small subunit ribosomal RNA
Source: RNAcentral
UACGUUCCCGGGCCUUGUACACACCGCCCGUCACACCACGAAAGUUGGUAACACCCGAAGCCGGUGGCCCAACCCUUAGGGAGGGAGCCGUCGAAGGUGGGAUCAGCGAUUGGGGUG